Molecule: ribosomal RNA, 468 nt
Filed under: uncultured bacterium
Lineage: Bacteria
Description: partial 16S ribosomal RNA
Rfam family: Bacterial small subunit ribosomal RNA
Source: RNAcentral
GACGAACGCUGGCGGCGUGCUUAACACAUGCAAGUCGAACGGAAAGGCCCUGCUUUUGUGGGGUGCUCGAGUGGCGAACGGGUGAGUAACACGUGAGUAACCUGCCCUUGACUUUGGGAUAACUUCAGGAAACUGGGGCUAAUACCGGAUAGGAGCUCCUGCUGCAUGGUGGGGGUUGGAAAGUUUCGGCGGUUGGGGAUGGACUCGCGGCUUAUCAGCUUGUUGGUGGGGUAGUGGCUUACCAAGGCUGUGACGGGUAGCCGGCCUGAGAGGGUGACCGGGCACAUUGGGACUGAGAGACGGCCCAGACUCCUACGGGAGGCAGCAGUGGGGAAUAUGGCACAAUGGGCGGAAGCCUGAGGCAGCAACGCCGCGUGCGGGAUGACGGCCUUCGGGUUGUAAACCGCUUUCGCCUGUGACGAAGCGUGAGUGACGGUAAUGGGUAAAGAAGCACCGGCUAACUACGUG